RNAcentral lists this long non-coding RNA (554 nucleotides) under Chinchilla lanigera (long-tailed chinchilla). Its description in RNAcentral is "lncRNA (ENSCLAG00000025455.1)". The record is from RNAcentral. Lineage: Eukaryota; Metazoa; Chordata; Mammalia; Rodentia; Chinchillidae.
GUGAUGUCAUUUUAUACAGGAGUGUCCUUGAUGGCUCUGUUUAAGAACACUAACUUCAAAACAGUAAAUCUUAGCACUUGAGAUAGAAUGCUACAAAGUUACUGACUAUGACAAGAACAUGCUUGCAGAAGUAUUUUGGUUUCAAGGUCUCCACGUUAAAAACCUUGGAAUAAUUAAAAUGAAUUAGUAUGCAGUGUUUGACAUUUGCAAUAGAACAAAAACAAAAUGACAAUGGAUGUUUAUGGAGGAUAAAAGGUAAAACAGGAGAUGUGACACUCAUCUUUCUCCCUGACUAUGGCAUCCUCCCUUCUUCAUGUAUAGAAGUCACUGCCAUUUGCCAUUACGUCCCUGGAAGGCUACAAAUGAAACAUUGCUCUUUACGGCUGGUAAACAACACAGUUGACUCAAAAACAAGGUUGAAACAAACUACAUAUCCUGCAACUGGAAAAUUUCAUGAAAAUUUUGUAUUUCCUUUUAAAUUUUUAACUAAGAUUUAAACCAGGAUAAUAGAUUACUCUUUAGUUCUCAUUGCUGCUCCAAAUAUUAUUUGUUUA